CAACAAUUAUUUCUCAUAAGUAUGGAAAAUUUAGCUAUGAAGUCUUACCCAUUUACCUUAGUUCUUCGUGGGGCUUUUUGGCUUUUCCUUUGUCUUGGGCGGUUGAGAGACAGAACAGUUAGAUAUAGAGCACCACUUUCUUAUUCUUAGCGAGUUUCAUACCGGAGGUUUUUCAAUUUUUUCACAAGAAAACUAGGUUUCUCAAUUGAUUUCUCUCAAUCUCUCAAGUGGAUAAUGUACCUUACCAAAGGCAUUGCUUUUCUC
RNAcentral lists this long non-coding RNA (264 nucleotides) under Sorghum bicolor (sorghum). RNAcentral's name for it is "long non-coding RNA (SBIC_LNC014811)". Lineage: Eukaryota; Viridiplantae; Streptophyta; Magnoliopsida; Poales; Poaceae. The record is from RNAcentral.